Molecule: ribosomal RNA, 468 nt
Filed under: uncultured bacterium
Lineage: Bacteria
Description: partial 16S ribosomal RNA
Rfam family: Bacterial small subunit ribosomal RNA
Source: RNAcentral
GACGAACGCUGGCGGCGUGCUUAACACAUGCAAGUCGAACGGAAAGGCCCUGCUUUUGUGGGGUGCUCGAGUGGCGAACGGGUGAGUAACACGUGAGUAACCUGCCCUUGACUUUGGGAUAACUUCAGGAAACUGGGGCUAAUACCGGAUAGGAGCUCCUGCUGCAUGGUGGGGGUUGGAAAGUUUCGGCGGUUGGGGAUGGACUCGCGGCUUAUCAGCUUGUUGGUGGGGUAGUGGCUUACCAAGGCUUUGACGGGUAGCCGGCCUGAGAGGGUGACCGGCCACAUUGGGACUGAGAUACGGCCCAGACUCUUACGGGAGGCAGCAGUGGGGAAUAUUGCACAAUGGGUGGAAGCCUGAUGCAGCAACGCCGCGUGCGGGAUGACGGCCUUCGGGUUGUAAACCGCUUUCGCCUGUGACGAAGCGUGAGUGACGGUAAUGGGUAAAGAAGCACCGGCUAACUACGUG